Molecule: ribosomal RNA, 468 nt
Filed under: uncultured bacterium
Lineage: Bacteria
Description: partial 16S ribosomal RNA
Rfam family: Bacterial small subunit ribosomal RNA
Source: RNAcentral
GACGAACGCUGGCGGCGUGCUUAACACAUGCAAGUCGAACGGAAAGGCCCUGCUUUUGUGGGGUGCUCGAGUGGCGAACGGGUGAGUAACACGUGAGUAACCUGCCCUUGACGUUGGGAUAACUUCAGGAAACUGGGGCUAAUACCGGAUAGGAGCUCCUGCUGCAUGGGGGGGGUUGGAAAGUUUCGGCGGUUGGGGAUGGACUCGCGGCUUAUCAGCUUGUUGGUGGGGUAGUGGCCUACCAAGGCGUUGACGGGUAGCCGGCCUGAGAGGGUGACCGGCCACAUUGGGACUGAGAUACGGCCCAGACUCCUACGGGAGGCAGCAGUGGGGAAUAUUGCACAAUGGGCGGAAGCCUGAUGCAGCAACGCCGCGUGCGUGAUGACGGCCUUCGGGUUGUAAACCGCUUUCGCCUGUGACGAAGCGUGAGUGACGGUAAUGGGUAAAGAAGCACCGGCUAACUACGUG